AGCCACCAGCGAGAUUCGAACUCGCGACCCCUGGAUUACGAGACCAGUGCUCUAACCUCUGAGCUAUGGUGGC
RNAcentral lists this transfer RNA (73 nucleotides) under Araneus ventricosus. RNAcentral's name for it is "tRNA-Thr". Lineage: Eukaryota; Metazoa; Arthropoda; Arachnida; Araneae; Araneidae. The record is from RNAcentral.